GGAGGAUCCGAGCGUUAUCCGGAUUUAUUGGGUUUAAAGGGAGCGUAGAUGGAUGUUUAAGUCAGUUGUGAAAGUUUGCGGCUCAACCGUAAAAUUGCAGUUGAUACUGGAUGUCUUGAGUGCAGUUGAGGCAGGCGGAAUUCGUGGUGUAGCGGUGAAAUGCUUAGAUAUCACGAAGAACUCCGAUUGCGAAGGCAGCCUGCUAAGCUGCAAUUGACAUUGAGGCU
This 227-nucleotide ribosomal RNA is filed under the name uncultured bacterium. RNAcentral's name for it is "partial 16S ribosomal RNA". It matches the Rfam family "Bacterial small subunit ribosomal RNA", at positions 527 to 753 of the family's 1533-position model. The record is from RNAcentral.